UAUGGCCACAUCACGUUUAAACACCUUUUCCCGUACGAUCACCGAGGUUAAGCAACGCCAAGCCUGGUCAGUACCUAGAUGGGUGACUGCUUGUGAAUACUAUGUUAUG
This is a non-coding RNA of Acanthosepion pharaonis, 109 nucleotides long. Lineage: Eukaryota; Metazoa; Mollusca; Cephalopoda; Sepiida; Sepiidae. The record is from the annotation of a GenBank genome assembly.